CCAGCAGCUGCGGUAAUUCCAGCUCCAAUAGCGUAUAUUUAAGUUGUUGCAGUUAAAAAGCUCGUAGUUGGAUUUCGGGCGCGUCGCGUUGGUCCGCCAAUGGUGAGUACUGGCGUCGGCGCGCCUUCCUGCCGGGGACGGGCUCCUGGGCUUCACUGUCUGGGACUCGGAGUCGGCGACGUUACUUUGAGAAAAUUAGAGUGUUCAAAGCAGGCCUACGCUCGAAUACUUUAGCAUGGAAUAACACGAUAGGACUCUGGCCUAUCCUGUUGGUCUGUAGGACCGGAGUAAUGAUUAAGAGGGACAGUCGGGGGCAUUCGUAUUUCAUUGUCAGAGGUGAAAUUCUUGGA
RNAcentral lists this ribosomal RNA (350 nucleotides) under uncultured eukaryote. Its description in RNAcentral is "SSU rRNA". It matches the Rfam family "Eukaryotic small subunit ribosomal RNA", at positions 567 to 924 of the family's 1831-position model. The record is from RNAcentral.